AUACUUCCCUGGCAGGGGAGACACCAUGAUCAGGCAGGUGGUUUUCCCAGGGCGAGGCUCAUCCCCUGCACUCCAUAUGUGCUGCCCCCUGCGAUUUCCCCAAUUUUUCAAGAAGGAAGAUCCAGGUAAUUACGGGCCAGUCACCUC
Molecule: small nuclear RNA, 147 nt
Filed under: Phasianus colchicus (ring-necked pheasant)
Lineage: Eukaryota; Metazoa; Chordata; Aves; Galliformes; Phasianidae
Description: U1 spliceosomal RNA (ENSPCLG00000014120.1)
Rfam family: U1 spliceosomal RNA
About the family: U1 is a small nuclear RNA (snRNA) component of the spliceosome (involved in pre-mRNA splicing). Its 5' end forms complementary base pairs with the 5' splice junction, thus defining the 5' donor site of an intron.
Source: RNAcentral